UCAGUCGGUCGGGCAGCCGCGCCGUCAUAGGCCGAAAGGCGGCAGGUGAGGAAAGUCCGGGCUCCAUGGAAACACGAUGCCGGGUAACGCCCGGCGGGGUAACCCCAGGAAAGUGCCACAGAAAGCAGACCGCCCCGUCUUUCGUACCGUUUCGACCAAACGGCAGGGAUGACGGGGUAAGGGUGAAAGGGUGGGUAGAGCCCACCGCGCCGGCAGCAAUGCAGGCGGCACGGUAAACCCCAUCGGGAGCAAAACCGAAUAGGGACGGCGCGUCGGCUCGAAAGGGCUGGCAAUCGGUUUCCGGAUCAGCCGUCCGGGUGGGUUGCAAGAGGCGGGUGGCGACAUCCGUCCCAGAUGAAUGGCUGCCACGCCGGGCGUAAGCCCGGCCAUACAGAACCCGGCUUACAGACCGGCUGACAAU
This 421-nucleotide RNase P RNA is filed under the name Brucella daejeonensis. RNAcentral describes it as "Ochrobactrum daejeonense RNase P RNA component class A". It matches the Rfam family "Bacterial RNase P class A". From Rfam's summary of the family: Ribonuclease P (RNase P) is a ubiquitous endoribonuclease, found in archaea, bacteria and eukarya as well as chloroplasts and mitochondria. Lineage: Bacteria; Pseudomonadati; Pseudomonadota; Alphaproteobacteria; Hyphomicrobiales; Brucellaceae. The record is from RNAcentral.